CGGCCCACCAAGGCAACGAUCAGUAGGGGUUCUGAGAGGAAGGUCCCCCACAUUGGAACUGAGACACGGUCCAAACUCCUACGGGAGGCAGCAGUGAGGAAUAUUGGUCAAUGGGCGAGAGCCUGAACAGCCAAGUAGCGUGCAGGAAGACGGCCCUAUGGGUUGUAAACUGCUUUUAUAAGGGAAUAAAGUGAGUCUCGUGAGACUUUUUGCAUGUACCUUAUGAAUAAGGACCGGCUAAUUCCGUGCCAGCAGCCGCGGUAAUACGGAAGGUCCGGGCGUUAUCCGGAUUUAUUGGGUUUAAAGGGAGCGUAGGCCGGAGAUUAAGCGUGUUGUGAAAUGUAGACGCUCAACGUCUGCACUGCAGCGCGAACUGGUUUCCUUGAGUACGCACAAAGUGGGCGGAAUUCGUGGUGUAGCGGUGAAAUGCUUAGAUAUCACGAAGAACUCCGAUUGCGAAGGCAGCUCACUGGAGCGCAACUGACGCUGAAGCUCGAAAGUGCGGGUAUCGAACAGGAUUAGAUACCCUGGUAGUCCGCACGGUAAACGAUGGAUGCCCGCUGUUGGUCUGAACAGGUCAGCGGCCAAGCGAAAGCAUUAAGCAUCCCACCUGGGGAGUACGCCGGCAACGGUGAAACUCAAAGGAAUUGACGGGGGCCCGCACAAGCGGAGGAACAUGUGGUUUAAUUCGAUGAUACGCGAGGAACCUUACCCGGGCUUGAAUUGCAGAGGAAGGAUUUGGAGACAAUGACGCCCUUCGGGGUCUCUGUGAAGGUGCUGCAUGGUUGUCGUCAGCUCGUGCCGUGAGGUGUCGGCUUAAGUGCCAUAACGAGCGCAACCCCUCUCCUUAGUUGCCAUCAGGUUAAGCUGGGCACUCUGGGGACACUGCCACCGUAAGGUGUGAGGAAGGUGGGGAUGACGUCAAAUCAGCACGGCCCUUACGUCCGGGGCUACACACGUGUUACAAUGGCAGGUACAGAGAGACGGUUGUGCGUAAGUACGAUCAAAUCCUUAAAGCCUGUCUCAGUUCGGACUGGGGUCUGCAACCCGACCCCACGAAGCUGGAUUCGCUAGUAAUCGCGCAUCAGCCAUGGCGCGGUGAAUACGUUCCCGGGCCUUGUACACACCGCCCGUCAAGCCAUGAAAGCCGGGGGCGCCUAAAGUCCGUGACCGUAAGGAGCGGCCUAGGGCGAAACUGGUAAUUGGGGCUAAGUCGAAACAAGGUA
RNAcentral lists this ribosomal RNA (1226 nucleotides) under metagenome. RNAcentral's name for it is "bacterial SSU rRNA". It matches the Rfam family "Bacterial small subunit ribosomal RNA", at positions 261 to 1498 of the family's 1533-position model. The record is from RNAcentral.